GGUUAUGGCUCAGCGGUAGAGCGCUCGCCUCAUAUGUGCAAGGCCCUGGGUUCGACCCUCAGCACCA
RNAcentral lists this transfer RNA (67 nucleotides) under Marmota monax (woodchuck). RNAcentral's name for it is "tRNA.Met". Lineage: Eukaryota; Metazoa; Chordata; Mammalia; Rodentia; Sciuridae. The record is from RNAcentral.